GAUGAACGCUGGCGGCGUGCCUAAUACAUGCAAGUCGAGCGAACAGACGAGGAGCUUGCUCCUCUGACGUUAGCGGCGGACGGGUGAGUAACACGUGGAUAACCUACCUAUAAGACUGGGAUAACUUCGGGAAACCGGAGCUAAUACUGGAUAAUAUAUUGAACCGCAUGGUUCAAUAGUGAAAGACGGUUUUGCUGUCACUUAUAGAUGGAUCCGCGCCGCAUUAGCUAGUUGGUAAGGUAACGGCUUACCAAGGCGACGAUGCGUAGCCGACCUGAGAGGGUGAUCGGCCACACUGGAACUGAGACACGGUCCAGACUCCUACGGGAGGCAGCAGUAGGGAAUCUUCCGCAAUGGGCGAAAGCUUGACGGAGCAACGCCGCGUGAGUGAUGAAGGUCUUCGGAUCGUAAAACUCUGUUAUUAGGGAAGAACAAAUGUGUAAGUAACUAUGCACGUCUUGACGGUACCUAAUCAGAAAGCCACGGCUAACUACGUG
This 497-nucleotide ribosomal RNA is filed under the name uncultured bacterium. Its description in RNAcentral is "partial 16S ribosomal RNA". It matches the Rfam family "Bacterial small subunit ribosomal RNA", at positions 28 to 507 of the family's 1533-position model. The record is from RNAcentral.